UACGUAGGGGGCAAGCGUUGUCCGGAUUUAUUGGGCGUAAAGAGCGUGUAGGCGGCUUGGUAGGUCCGCUGUGAAAACUCGAGGCUCAACCUCGAGAUGUCGGCGGAAACCACUUGGCUAGAGUCCGGAAGAGGAGAGUGGAAUUCCCGGUGUAGCGGUGAAAUGCGCAGAUAUCAGGAAGAACACCCGUGGCUAAGGCGGCUCUCUAGUACGGUACUGACGCUGAGACGCGAAAGCGUGGGGAGCGAACAGG
Molecule: ribosomal RNA, 253 nt
Filed under: uncultured bacterium
Lineage: Bacteria
Description: partial 16S ribosomal RNA
Rfam family: Bacterial small subunit ribosomal RNA
Source: RNAcentral